RNAcentral lists this long non-coding RNA (453 nucleotides) under Capsicum annuum. RNAcentral's name for it is "long non-coding RNA (CANN_LNC022073)". The record is from RNAcentral. Lineage: Eukaryota; Viridiplantae; Streptophyta; Magnoliopsida; Solanales; Solanaceae.
AGGUUUUUCGUGAUUCAAGGGUCUUUGUCGGGUUAAAUUAUCAGGUAUUUUUGAUGGAUGGGUUCGAGUUACGAGUCAGGCGGGAAACCGAGUUCGGGUUCUGGUACGGGUUGGUCGGCGAAUUUUGUUGGGUCGAUUUGGCGGGUGUUAUCGUUGUUAAUUGUUGUUAAAGUUGUUAUGUGUUGAUGUAUUGUUGAAAGUGUAUGUUGGAUUGGAGUUGUUGUCGUGUAUUAGACGUUAUUGGAUAAGGAAAGGGGAUGUGGGCCAGGUCAUGGCGAUUUGUUGGGCCUAGGUCUGUGGUUUAAUUGUUGUUGUGGUUGUUAUUAUUGAGUAUUGUUGGGCUGCUAAUGGAUGCUGGGUUGAGGGAUUUAGGCCGGCUGGUGAGUAAUAUUAUUUUGGUGCCAAGUGUGUUAUUGGUGGAGUGGGCUGAUGGAUAGAUUAAGUUAUUUUGGA